This 106-nucleotide small nuclear RNA is filed under the name Peromyscus maniculatus bairdii (prairie deer mouse). The record is from RNAcentral. Lineage: Eukaryota; Metazoa; Chordata; Mammalia; Rodentia; Cricetidae.
GUGUUUGCUUCAGCAGUACAUAUAUUAAAGUUGGAGUGAUAAAAAAAGAUUAGCAUGGUGCUUGCUCAAGGAUGACAUGCAAAUUUGUGAAGCAUUCAUAUUCCAU